RNAcentral lists this ribosomal RNA (513 nucleotides) under uncultured Gram-positive bacterium. RNAcentral's name for it is "bacterial SSU rRNA". It matches the Rfam family "Bacterial small subunit ribosomal RNA", at positions 8 to 521 of the family's 1533-position model. The record is from RNAcentral.
AGAGUUUGAUCCUGGCUCAGGAUGAACGCUGGCGGCGUGCUUAACACAUGCAAGUCGAACGAAGCGAUUUGACGGAAGUUUUCGGAUGGAAGUUAAAUUGACUGAGUGGCGGACGGGUGAGUAACGCGUGGGUAACCUGCCUCACACUGGGGGACAACAGUUAGGAAUGACUGCUAAUACCGCGUAAGCGCACAGGACCGCAUGGUCCGGUGUGAAAAACUCCGGUGGUGUGAGAUGGACCCGCGUUUGAUUAGCUAGUUGGUGGGGUAACGGCCUACCAAGGCGACGAUCAAUAGCCGACCUGAGAGGGUGACCGGCCACAUUGGGACUGAGACACGGCCCAAACUCCUACGGGAGGCAGCAGUGGGGAAUAUUGCACAAUGGGGGAAACCCUGAUGCAGCGACGCCGCGUGAGUGAAGAAGUAUUUCGGUAUGUAAAGCUCUAUCAGCAGGGAAGAAAAUGACGGUACCUGACUAAGAAGCCCCUGCUAACUACGUGCCAGCAGCCGCGGU